GAGAAAACUGUUAGGUGGAUUCAGGUUAGUGCAGCCAUACCAACGCGGACGAAUGGCUCGGAUUCAAUUCACGGUCACAAACUUUUAUAAGACAAUGGGUGAAAUUUUAAUAAAAGAAAAAGGCGAGAGAAGCAAAUGCAAAUAAUGCAUGGAGGACCGGUUGUGGACGACAUCCAGAUAUACGAAUGCCAUCCUUCACCCAACGGCAGGCCCCACCACGGGUAUGGUUGGCUCGGAAUGCUCCGUCCGGCCGGUAGCGGACACCGGGAUGCUCCAUCUUUCGGAAAUCUGGGAUUGCAAAGCGGAAUAAAUGCUGAAAUGAAAACCAAUACAACGCUACCAAUUCGGACCACUAUAGAUUAGG
RNAcentral lists this long non-coding RNA (364 nucleotides) under Androctonus crassicauda. The record is from RNAcentral. Lineage: Eukaryota; Metazoa; Arthropoda; Arachnida; Scorpiones; Buthidae.